UACGUAGGGACCAAGCGUUGUUCGGAUUUACUGGGCGUAAAGAGCGUGUAGGCGGCCUGACAGGUCUGCUGUGAAAACUCGAGGCUCAACCUCGAGAUGUCGGCGGAAACCGUCUGGCUAGAGUCCGGAAGAGGAGAGUGGAAUUCCUGGUGUAGCGGUGAAAUGCGCAGAUAUCAGGAAGAACACCUAUGGCGAAGGCAGCUCUCUGGGACGGUACUGACGCUGAGACGCGAAAGCGUGGGGAGCAAACAGG
RNAcentral lists this ribosomal RNA (253 nucleotides) under uncultured bacterium. Its description in RNAcentral is "partial 16S ribosomal RNA". It matches the Rfam family "Bacterial small subunit ribosomal RNA", at positions 524 to 776 of the family's 1533-position model. The record is from RNAcentral.